Molecule: ribosomal RNA, 395 nt
Filed under: uncultured bacterium
Lineage: Bacteria
Description: bacterial SSU rRNA
Rfam family: Bacterial small subunit ribosomal RNA
Source: RNAcentral
AUUUUGCGCAAUGGGGGAAACCCUGACGCAGCAACGCCGCGUGAUUGAAGAAGCCCUUCGGGGUGUAAAGAUCUGUCAGUGGGGACGAAACUUGACGGUACCCACAGAGGAACCAUCGGNCAACUCCGUGCCAGCAGCCGCGGUAAUACGGGGGAUGCAAGCGUUGUCCGGAAUCAUUGGGCGUAAAGAGUUCGUAGGUGGCACGUUAAGUCUGGUGUUAAAUGCAGGGGCUCAACCUCUGUUCGGCACUGGAUACUGGCGAGCUUGAAUGCGGUAGAGGUAAAGGGAAUUCCUGGUGUAGCGGUGAAAUGCGUAGAUAUCAGGAGGAACAUCGGUGGCGUAAGCGCUUUACUGGGCCGUAAUUGACACUGAGGAACGAAAGCCAGGGUAGAAAA